Small nucleolar RNA from Ceratina calcarata, 78 nucleotides. RefSeq annotates it as small nucleolar RNA U43. The transcript has a single exon. Lineage: Eukaryota; Metazoa; Arthropoda; Insecta; Hymenoptera; Apidae. The record is from RefSeq and is a predicted model, not a curated record.
GUGAUGAUAUUCCUUUAUAAUGUUUAUGGUUUUCAAACUGAAGAACCUUGAAGAUAAUUUCUAGGGCGGUCUGAUUAU